RNAcentral lists this unclassified non-coding RNA (211 nucleotides) under plant metagenome. Its description in RNAcentral is "partial contains small subunit ribosomal RNA, internal transcribed spacer 1, and 5.8S ribosomal RNA". The record is from RNAcentral.
UUUCCGUAGGUGAACCUGCGGAAGGAUCAUUCAUAAUAAAGUGUUUUAUGGCACUUUUUAAAAAUCCAUAUCCACCUUGUGUGCAAUGUUAGAUCUCGUCAAUCUUGGCGAGGUUUUUAUACAUCAACUCAUUCUUUAACUAAUUUGUCUGAAAAAUAUUAUGAAUACUUAAUUCAAAAUACGACUUUCAACAACGGAUCUCUUGGCUCUC